UGAGGAAUGUUGCGCAAUGGGGGAAACCCUGACGCAGCAACGCCGCGUGAGUGAGGAAGGUUUUCGGACCGUAAAGCUCUGUCGAGCGGGAAGAAAUGCAUAGUGGCUAAUAUCCAUUAUGCUUGACGGUACCGCUAAAGGAAGCACCGGCUAACUCGUUGCCAGCAGCCGCGGUAAUACGGGGGGUGCUAGCGUUGUUCGGAAUCAUUGGGCGUAAAGAGCGUGUAGGCGGCUGGAUAAGUCAGAUGUGAAAGCCCUGGGCUUAACCUAGGAAGUGCAUUUGAAACUGUUCAGCUUGAGUAAGGGAGAGGAAAGUGGAAUUCCUGGUGUAGAGGUGAAAUUCGUAGAUAUCAGGAGGAACACCGGUGGCGAAGGCGACUUUCUGGCCCUAUACUGACGCUGAGACGCGAGAGCGUGGGUAGCAAACA
RNAcentral lists this ribosomal RNA (428 nucleotides) under uncultured prokaryote. Its description in RNAcentral is "bacterial SSU rRNA". It matches the Rfam family "Bacterial small subunit ribosomal RNA", at positions 355 to 774 of the family's 1533-position model. The record is from RNAcentral.